CAAUAGCGUAUAUUUAAGUUGUUGCAGUUAAAAAGCUCGUAGUUGGAUUUCGGGUGGGACGCAGCGGUCUCGCAUUGCGUUUGUACUGCUGCAGCCCUCCUUCUUGCCGGGGGCGGCCUCUCGGACUUCACUGUCUGGGGGUCAGAAUCGGCGAUGUUACUUUGAGUAAAUUAGAGUGUUCAAAGCAAGCUUACGCUCUGAAUAUAAUAGCAUGGGAUAACACGACAGGACUCUGGCCUAUCGUGUUGGUCUAUAGGACCAGAGUAAUGAUUAAGAGGGACAGUCGGGGGCAUUCGUAUUCCGUUGUCAGAGGUGAAAUUCUUGGAUUGACGGAAGACGAACAUCUGCGAAAGCAUUUGCCAAGGAUGUUUUCAUUGA
This 378-nucleotide ribosomal RNA is filed under the name uncultured eukaryote. Its description in RNAcentral is "partial 18S ribosomal RNA". It matches the Rfam family "Eukaryotic small subunit ribosomal RNA", at positions 592 to 976 of the family's 1831-position model. The record is from RNAcentral.